GACGAACGCUGGCGGCGUGCCUAAUACAUGCAAGUUGAGCGCUGAAGGUUGGUACUUGUACCAACUGGAUGAGCAGCGAACGGGUGAGUAACGCGUGGGGAAUCUGCCUUUGAGCGGGGGACAACAUUUGGAAACGAAUGCUAAUACCGCAUAAAAACUUUAAACACAAGUUUUAAGUUUGAAAGAUGCAAUUGCAUCACUCAAAGAUGAUCCCGCGUUGUAUUAGCUAGUUGGUGAGGUAAAGGCUCACCAAGGCGAUGAUACAUAGCCGACCUGAGAGGGUGAUCGGCCACAUUGGGACUGAGACACGGCCCAAACUCCUACGGGAGGCAGCAGUAGGGAAGCUUCGGCAAUGGGCGAAAGUCUGACCGAGCAACGCCGCGGGAGGGAAGAAGGGUUUCGGAUCGUAAAACUCUGUUGGUAGAGAAGAACGUUGGUGAGAGUGGAAAGCUCAUCAAGUGACGGUAACUACCCAGAAAGGGACGGCUAACUACGUG
Molecule: ribosomal RNA, 497 nt
Filed under: uncultured bacterium
Lineage: Bacteria
Description: partial 16S ribosomal RNA
Rfam family: Bacterial small subunit ribosomal RNA
Source: RNAcentral